GCUUACGGCCACACCUCCCUGAGCACGCCCGAUCUCGUCUGAUCUCGGAAGCUAAGCAGGGACUGGCCCAGGUUAGUACUUGGAUGGGAGAUCGCCUGGGAAUACCAGGUGCUGUAAGCC
RNAcentral lists this ribosomal RNA (120 nucleotides) under Esox lucius (northern pike). The record is from RNAcentral. Lineage: Eukaryota; Metazoa; Chordata; Actinopteri; Esociformes; Esocidae.